ACUAAGGUGAUGAAUUGGGAGCAUGAAGUUUUUAUUUUCCUGGCUGGAAUGUAAUCAUCUUUAUGUUGUCUCACAACACGGACUACUCUAAAGUCCUUCCAGCAUUUUUGGAGAAACAUUCAAACUAUGGAGUAUGAAGGACGACAACUAAGAAUUUCAGAUAAUCAUAAUUAGGCUUCAACUUAAGGUUGAUUCAAACUAGAAUUACCACUCAAUCUUACCAAGGCCGUUUAAUUGUAUGCGAUUUGAGUAUUAAAUGCAUAAGACAGUAAACUAAACCCGGUGUAUGUACGUAAAAUAGCUAGCAAAAUAAAAUGUUCAGCUAAUUCAGCACAGCUGGGGAAGGUUGAGGCAGA
Molecule: long non-coding RNA, 356 nt
Organism: Juglans microcarpa x Juglans regia
Lineage: Eukaryota; Viridiplantae; Streptophyta; Magnoliopsida; Fagales; Juglandaceae
Exons: 2
Source: RefSeq, a predicted model, not a curated record